RNAcentral lists this ribosomal RNA (427 nucleotides) under uncultured bacterium. RNAcentral's name for it is "partial 16S ribosomal RNA". It matches the Rfam family "Bacterial small subunit ribosomal RNA", at positions 355 to 774 of the family's 1533-position model. The record is from RNAcentral.
UGGGGAAUAUUGGACAAUGGGCGAAAGCCUGAUCCAGCCAUGCCGCGUGUGUGAAGAAGGUCUUCGGAUUGUAAAGCACUUUAAGUUGGGAGGAAGGGCAUUAACCUAAUACGUUAGUGUUUUGACGUUACCGACAGAAUAAGCACCAGCUAACUCUGUGCCAGCAGCCGCGGUAAUACAGAGGGUGCAAGCGUUAAUCGGAAUUACUGGGCGUAAAGCGCGCGUAGGUGGUUUGUUAAGUUGGAUGUGAAAUCCCCGGGCUCAACCUGGGAACUGCAUUCAAAACUGACUGACUAGAGUAUGGUAGAGGGUGGUGGAAUUUCCUGUGUAGCGGUGAAAUGCGUAGAUAUAGGAAGGAACACCAGUGGCGAAGGCGACCACCUGGACUAAUACUGACACUGAGGUGCGAAAGCGUGGGGAGCAAACA